GAGUUUGAUCUUGGCUCAGAUUGAACGCUGGCGGCAUGCCUUACACAUGCAAGUCGAACGGCAGCAUGAUCUAGCUUGCUAGAUUGAUGGCGAGUGGCGAACGGGUGAGUAAUACAUCGGAACGUGCCCUGUAGUGGGGGAUAACUAGUCGAAAGAUUAGCUAAUACCGCAUACGACCUGAGGGUGAAAGUGGGGGACCGCAAGGCCCUCAUGCUAUAGGAGCGGCCGAUGUCUGAUUAGCUAGUUGGUGGGGUAAAGGCCCACCAAGGCGACGAUCAGUAGCUGGUCUGAGAGGACGAUCAGCCACACUGGGACUGAGACACGGCCCAGACUCCUACGGGAGGCAGCAGUGGGGAAUUUUGGACAAUGGGCGAAAGCCUGAUCCAGCAAUGCCGCGUGUGUGAAG
This 406-nucleotide ribosomal RNA is filed under the name uncultured microorganism. RNAcentral describes it as "bacterial SSU rRNA". It matches the Rfam family "Bacterial small subunit ribosomal RNA", at positions 9 to 410 of the family's 1533-position model. The record is from RNAcentral.